This 75-nucleotide transfer RNA is filed under the name Comamonadaceae bacterium OS-1. Its description in RNAcentral is "translation initiation factor IF-2". Lineage: Bacteria; Pseudomonadati; Pseudomonadota; Betaproteobacteria; Burkholderiales; Comamonadaceae. The record is from RNAcentral.
CCCAGCGCCAGGUAGGGCGCGUUGCUGAAAUUCGCGGUGUCGGUCAGCGCCUGUUCGAUGUGCGCGCGCUGGGUC